UACGGAGGAUCCGAGCGUUAUCCGGAUUUAUUGGGUUUAAAGGGAGCGUAGGUGGAUUGUUAAGUCAGUUGUGAAAGUUUGCGGCUCAACCGUAAAAUUGCAGUUGAUACUGGCAUCCUUGAGUACAGUAGAGGUAGGCGGAAUUCGUGGUGUAGCGGUGAAAUGCUUAGAUAUCACGAAGAACUCCGAUUGCGAAGGCAGCCUGCUGGACUGUAACUGACGCUGAUGCUCGAAAGUGUGGGUAUCAAACAGG
Molecule: ribosomal RNA, 253 nt
Filed under: uncultured bacterium
Lineage: Bacteria
Description: partial 16S ribosomal RNA
Rfam family: Bacterial small subunit ribosomal RNA
Source: RNAcentral